Molecule: ribosomal RNA, 771 nt
Filed under: Triticum aestivum (bread wheat)
Lineage: Eukaryota; Viridiplantae; Streptophyta; Magnoliopsida; Poales; Poaceae
Description: partial small subunit ribosomal RNA
Source: RNAcentral
AUGGCGGAUCGGCCGGGAGAUUCGUGGCACAAGGAGAAUUUGCCAGAGGAGCCAAAGCAGCACCAUCCUGCUCAAGCCGCAGUCUCAUCCGCUGCUUCCAGAGGGAGGUACGCAAGGAGUCGAGCUGGGUGGGCUUCCAAGGAGAGGAGUACCCCAUGCAUCAGGAGCCAAGCUGCUUAUGCUUCUAAGGAGAGGAGCACUCCUGAAGGUGUCAACAUGGACGAACAUGGAUUUAGGUUUCGGUUCAAUUUCCCUCGACCCAAAUAUGAGUACGGCACCCUGGAUUUCGGUGAGGACGAUGAAGAUGAGUGUUUACCGAGGCAGAGAAAACCUCCGGAGGUAAGGAAUGCACUCCGUGAGAAGAGAGUCGCGUUUCGGCAAAAGACCACGCGCCUCCAUGCCAAGGUAGCUCUGCGUAAAUACAACAGAGCAAACAGCACCAAGUUUGAGCUGGUGGAGGUACGAGUGAUCCGUCAAUUUUGGGAGUUUGGAGGGGGCUGCAUCCAUUACAACUUCACCGCUAAGCCACAGGAUCAGCAUUCUGCUGAUGACGACAGCACCAAGCUCUUCUUCUCUGAAAUAGACUCCCCUUUCCAUGGCGAGAAUGAUGUGCUCCUGUGCUGCAUUGUUGGGGAAAAUGAUAAUGGGCAUUGUCACGGCUGCGAAGGCUUCAAGCCAACCGUUGUUCACCCUAGUAGCCAAGCAUAUGGCGGCGGUAGUAGUACGUGCAUUGAUUUUGCUGGUUCAGACGGCAGCUCAGAGAGUGAUUAA